GUGGGGAAUCUUGCGCAAUGGGCGAAAGCCUGACGCAGCCAUGCCGCGUGAAUGAUGAAGGUCUUAGGAUUGUAAAAUUCUUUCACCGGGGACGAUAAUGACGGUACCCGGAGAAGAAGCUCCGGCUAACUUCGUGCCAGCAGCCGCGGUAAUACGAAGGGGGCUAGCGUUGCUCGGAAUUACUGGGCGUAACGGGCGCGUAGGCGGACAGCUUAGUCAGAGGUGAAAGCCCAGGGCUCAACCUUGGAAUUGCCUUUGAUACUGGCUGUCUUGAGUUUGGGAGAGGUGAGUGGAACUCCGAGUGUAGAGGUGAAAUUCGUAGAUAUUCGGAAGAACACCAGUGGCGAAGGCGACUCACUGGCCCAAUACUGACGCUGAGGCGCGAAAGCGUGGGGAGCAAACAGGAUUAGAAACCCGGGUAGUCC
RNAcentral lists this ribosomal RNA (425 nucleotides) under uncultured bacterium. Its description in RNAcentral is "partial 16S ribosomal RNA". It matches the Rfam family "Bacterial small subunit ribosomal RNA", at positions 354 to 796 of the family's 1533-position model. The record is from RNAcentral.